GUGGUGGCUCAGUGGUAGAGCACUUGCCUAGCAUGUGAAAGGCACUGGGUUUGAUUCUCAGCACCACA
This 68-nucleotide transfer RNA is filed under the name Marmota monax (woodchuck). It matches the Rfam family "tRNA". Rfam says of the family: Transfer RNA (tRNA) molecules are approximately 80 nucleotides in length. Their secondary structure includes four short double-helical elements and three loops (D, anti-codon, and T loops). Lineage: Eukaryota; Metazoa; Chordata; Mammalia; Rodentia; Sciuridae. The record is from Rfam by way of RNAcentral.